GACGUAGGAGGCGAGCGUUGUCCGGAUUCAUUGGGCGUAAAGAGCUCGUAGGCGGUUUGUCGCGUCUGCUGUGAAAACCUAAGGCUCAACCUUGGGCUUGCAGUGGGUACGGGCAGACUAGAGUGCGGUAGGGGUGACUGGAAUUCCUGGUGUAGCGGUGGAAUGCGCAGAUAUCAGGAGGAACACCGAUGGCGAAGGCAGGUCACUGGGCCGCAACUGACGCUGAGGAGCGAAAGCAUGGGGAGCGAACAGG
This 253-nucleotide ribosomal RNA is filed under the name uncultured bacterium. Its description in RNAcentral is "partial 16S ribosomal RNA". It matches the Rfam family "Bacterial small subunit ribosomal RNA", at positions 524 to 776 of the family's 1533-position model. The record is from RNAcentral.